CAAGAGCCAGAUGCUCAACUGACUGAGCCACCGAGGCUCCCUACUGUCCAAGAUGUGGGAGCCAUGAGGAGAGGGGCAGAGUAAUCCUGGACAAGGCCAUCCUACUAGUCAGCCCCCAGCCAUCCUGCCAGCUGACCACAGAUGCAUGAACAAGCCCAGAGCUGCCUGGAGUCAUUUCCUGCAGGAAUUUCACGUCUUCCCAUUGAAGUGUUCCAGCAGCUGGUAACCAAAUCAUCAACUCAGGCCAUGGGUGAUUCUCCAGGCUCCAAUUACAAAUCAGAAGGAAUAAAGCAGUCUGCAUAUUUCCCACGUUGGGUGAGGACACAUUGACUUCUGGAGAGCUUGAAUCAAUAAGCUGAAAGAAAAGUUCAAACUCCAAUUUCAGAAGAACUUGGCUUCUGCGUGUUAAACUAUGGAUUCAUAGGUUCUUCUGCCUUGUGGGUCUUCUGCUCUCUGCUGUCCUUGACAGCUCGCACCAAGCUGAUCACUGGGGACAUCAAUGGACUUCUGAAUGAAGACAUUGUCUGACAAGUAUAAUAGACGAGCAUGAAACGCAUACUGUUCUGCUCUUUUGAAUAUAUUACAUUUAUUGAGAACUACAAUUAAGUUAUGUAUUUUUAUCAGUAAAGCACUUUAUUGAUUGCGGACGUGAAGCUGAGUUCUUUCAUGUUUUGGUCAGCUCUAAGGACACAUGCACCUAGUGGUUCAAAACAAAUUGACUGGCAUGAUUACUGAGCCUGUGAUGAAUUGUAAGUGUAUAGAAAUAUCGAACAUUGGAGUGCGUUAUUCUGUACAACAUUUGUUCUAAUUUUGUGUUCAUUUUAAUGAUAAAUGAAACAAAUUAAUAGAA
Leopardus geoffroyi (Geoffroy's cat) is the source of this 850-nucleotide long non-coding RNA. RefSeq lists it as uncharacterized. The transcript has 4 exons. NCBI's taxonomy places the organism in Eukaryota, Metazoa, Chordata, Mammalia, Carnivora, Felidae. The record is from RefSeq and is a predicted model, not a curated record.